GGGGGUGACUGGUUUCGACUUGGGACGGUAGUCCCAGGAGAAGCGGGCCGAGGAGCCAGCGACAUCUCGUAAACGAACGCUGGAAAACACAACUGCCGACAACAAUCGCGCAGACUUCGCUCUCGCUGCCUGAUCAGCGAUCGAAGGGUCAGCCCGGGUGUAGCCUUCCGCCCGGUUCCUGGCCUCAUCUAGGAGGCUUGCUGGUCGUCUGACGCCUUGGCGGACGAUCGGGACUCAACCAGGGCUGGGCCUGUCCGCGACGUGCCGAUGAUGAGCGCGGGGGCCAAGGAGAACGACACCAUCGGCUGCGCCCGGAGAAGACCUGGUUCGCCUCUCGAGGACGCGGGUUCGACUCCCGCCACCUCCACCC
Molecule: transfer-messenger RNA, 370 nt
Filed under: Propionibacteriaceae
Lineage: Bacteria; Bacillati; Actinomycetota; Actinomycetes; Propionibacteriales
Also listed under: 1 other name
Description: Brevilactibacter sp012838755 Standard tmRNA
Rfam family: transfer-messenger RNA
About the family: Bacterial tmRNA, also known as 10Sa RNA or SsrA, is named for its dual tRNA and mRNA-like properties. Its role is to liberate the mRNA from a stalled ribosome. To accomplish this part of the tmRNA is used as a reading frame that ends in a translation stop signal.
Source: RNAcentral